UACGAACGCUGGCGGCGUGCUUAACACAUGCAAGUCGAACGGAAAGGCCCUGCUUUUGUGGGGUGCUCGAGUGGCGAACGGGUGAGUAACACGUGAGUAACCUGCCCUUGACUUUGGGAUAACUUCAGGAAACUGGGGCUAAUACCGGAUAGGAGCUCCUGCUGCAUGGUGGGGGUUGGAAAGUUUCGGCGGUUGGGGAUGGACUCGCGGCUUAUCAGCUUGUUGGUGGGGUAGUGGCUUACCAAGGCUUUGACGGGUAGCCGGCCUGAGAGGGUGACCGGCCACAUUGGGACUGAGAUACGGCCCAGACCCCUACGGGAGGCAGCAGUGGGGAAUAUUGCACAAUGGGCGGAAGCCUGAUGCAGCAACGCCGCGUGCGGGAUGACGGCCUUCGGGUUGUAAACCGCUUUCGCCUGUGACGAAGCGUGAGUGACGGUAAUGGGUAAAGAAGCACCGGCUAACUACGUG
Molecule: ribosomal RNA, 468 nt
Filed under: uncultured bacterium
Lineage: Bacteria
Description: partial 16S ribosomal RNA
Rfam family: Bacterial small subunit ribosomal RNA
Source: RNAcentral